ACAACUCCGUGUCUCGACAGUGCAAAGCGGAUCUGAGAAACCGCCCAGUAGUAUUAUGGAGGGGAGUUUCUAGUGUGCGUAAAGAAGGAUCUACACCUUCCCCCCCGCUCACUGUUAGGUACCAUUAAAGAGUCGAGUUGUUUGGGAAUGCAGCUCAAAAUGGGUGGUAAAUUCCAUCAAAAGUUAAAUACAGGCAAGAGCUCAAUGGUGAACGGUAACUGUGAGGGAAGGAUGAAAAGAACUAUCAAAAGAGAAUUAAACAGUACGUGACAUUGUUGAAAGGGAAACUGCACUCGAAGUUACUCACGUCCGCUGGGACUCAGAAAUCAGG
This 331-nucleotide non-coding RNA is filed under the name Exidia glandulosa HHB12029. RNAcentral describes it as "Eukaryotic large subunit ribosomal RNA". It matches the Rfam family "Eukaryotic large subunit ribosomal RNA", at positions 104 to 462 of the family's 3401-position model. The record is from Rfam by way of RNAcentral. Lineage: Eukaryota; Fungi; Basidiomycota; Agaricomycetes; Auriculariales; Exidiaceae.